This 246-nucleotide ribosomal RNA is filed under the name uncultured bacterium. RNAcentral describes it as "partial 16S ribosomal RNA". It matches the Rfam family "Bacterial small subunit ribosomal RNA", at positions 524 to 768 of the family's 1533-position model. The record is from RNAcentral.
UACGAAGGGGGGCUAGCGUUGCUCGGAAUCACUGGGCGUAAAGCGCACGUAGGCGGAUUGUUAAGUCAGGGGUGAAAUCCUGGAGCUCAACUCCAGAACUGCCUUUGAUACUGAAGAUCUUGAGUUCGGGAGAGGUGAGUGGAACUGCGAGUGUAGAGGUGAAAUUCGUAGAUAUUCGCAAGAACACCAGUGGCGAAGGCGGCUCACUGGCCCGAUACUGACGCUGAGGCACGAAAGCGUGGGGAG